This 169-nucleotide ribosomal RNA is filed under the name uncultured bacterium. RNAcentral's name for it is "partial 16S ribosomal RNA". It matches the Rfam family "Bacterial small subunit ribosomal RNA", at positions 338 to 524 of the family's 1533-position model. The record is from RNAcentral.
CCUACGGGAGGCAGCAGUGGGGAAUAUUGCACAAUGGGCGAAAGCCUGAUGCAGCGACGCCGCGUGAGCGAAGAAGUAUUUCGGUAUGUAAAGCUCUAUCAGCAGGAAAGAAAAUGACGGUACCUGCACAAGAAGCUCCGGCUAAAUACGUGCCAGCAGCCGCGGUAAU